UGUUUGUUUUAGUUCCUAAAGCACAGGACGGUCUAUAAUUUCUUCGAAGUGUGUCUUGAUACGCUUGAAUCUAAGAUCCAUAUGUUGGUCUACACAUUGCUCCCAUCGUUGCAACAUUUCGUCCUUAUGGUCACACACAAAGAGUGCAAAAUAAAGAGAAAAUACUCAACUGAUUUUUUAUUACUGAAAAAACUAAUACAUAAAAAUCUGGGGUAUUUGUAG
RNAcentral lists this unclassified non-coding RNA (222 nucleotides) under Hevea brasiliensis (rubber tree). The record is from RNAcentral. Lineage: Eukaryota; Viridiplantae; Streptophyta; Magnoliopsida; Malpighiales; Euphorbiaceae.